RNAcentral lists this long non-coding RNA (390 nucleotides) under Pan troglodytes (chimpanzee). Its description in RNAcentral is "long non-coding RNA NONPTRT002242". Lineage: Eukaryota; Metazoa; Chordata; Mammalia; Primates; Hominidae. The record is from RNAcentral.
UUCUGCCUUGGGAUGCUGUUAAUCUAUAACCUUACCCCCAACCCCGUGCUCUCUGAAACAUGUGCUGUGUCCACUCAGGGUUAAAUGGAUUAAGGGCGGAGCAAGAUGUGCUUUGUUAAACAGAUGCUUGAAGGAUGUUUAUCUGCUGACCUUCCCUCCACUAUUGUCCUAUGACCCUGCCAAAUCCCCCUCUCUGAGAAACACCCAAGAAUGAUCAAUAAAUACUAAAAAAAAAAAAAAAAAAAGUUUCUAUAUUUGACUGGUGCUUUUUUUUAACCAAAAAACCAAUAAUUUCAGAUGUUCAAAGAAAUACAUUUUACACUGAGGCCCAAUACACAAAAUAAAUACAUAUACACAUGCAUAUAUAAUACACAUAAACAUAUACAGAUA